AUUGAACGCUGGCGGCAUGCCUUACACAUGCAAGUCGAACGGUAACAGGUCUUCGGAUGCUGACGAGUGGCGAACGGGUGAGUAAUACAUCGGAACGUGCCCAGACGUGGGGGAUAACGAGGCGAAAGCUUUGCUAAUACCGCAUACGAUCUAAGGAUGAAAGCAGGGGACCGCAAGGCCUUGUGCGUUUGGAGCGGCCGAUGGCAGAUUAGGUGGUUGGUGGGAUAAAAGCUUACCAAGCCGACGAUCUGUAGCUGGUGGGAGAGGACGACCAGCCACACGGGGACGAACAAGCCACCGAGACGCCUGCGGAGGGAGGCAGGGGGGAUUGUUAGAGAAGGGUGGGAGGCCGGCCCCAGCAAUGCCGCGGGGUGAGGGAGGGCCUCCGGUUGGUAAUGUUCUUUUGUAGGAAGGGAAGGGGGUCUGCCUAAUCCGUGGGGAACUUGACGGUACCGAAAGAAAAAGCGCCGGCUAACUACGUG
RNAcentral lists this ribosomal RNA (482 nucleotides) under uncultured bacterium. RNAcentral's name for it is "partial 16S ribosomal RNA". It matches the Rfam family "Bacterial small subunit ribosomal RNA", at positions 29 to 507 of the family's 1533-position model. The record is from RNAcentral.